Molecule: small nuclear RNA, 103 nt
Filed under: Castor canadensis (American beaver)
Lineage: Eukaryota; Metazoa; Chordata; Mammalia; Rodentia; Castoridae
Source: RNAcentral
UUGCUUUGGCAGCACAUAUACUACAAUUAGAAUGAUACAGAGAGGAUUAGCAUGGCCCCUGUGCAAGGAUGGUACACAAAUUCAUGAAGCAUUGAAACAAAAA